UACUUCAAUAAACUCAUUUCACCUCUUUCAUCCGAGAUUACCCGCUGAACUUAAGCAUAUCAAUAAGCGGAGGA
RNAcentral lists this ribosomal RNA (74 nucleotides) under Yarrowia galli. RNAcentral's name for it is "partial 26S ribosomal RNA". The record is from RNAcentral. Lineage: Eukaryota; Fungi; Ascomycota; Dipodascomycetes; Dipodascales.